Long non-coding RNA from Populus trichocarpa (black cottonwood), 559 nucleotides. RefSeq lists it as uncharacterized. Lineage: Eukaryota; Viridiplantae; Streptophyta; Magnoliopsida; Malpighiales; Salicaceae. The record is from RefSeq and is a predicted model, not a curated record. The transcript has 2 exons.
UGGGAAAGACAAAAGGUAGACGACCAGAUUCCCAUUAUUUGCUCUCCACCAUUUGCUUUUAUGCUACAAGUGGACAACCAGGCAAACCCUAAUCCAACAAAUCAAAUCAUGUAUAUAUAAAAGAAGAAGAAGAAGAAGAAGAAGAAGAUGGAUCCUCCUCAUCCAUUGAUGGAAGGCCAUGUGGAAGCUGGCAAGGCCAUCCUCCAUCUUACAGCACUCUUUUCGUUUUACAGGCUCCCUAUUUCCAUGAGAGAAUAUAAUGUGGUAGGUUUAUCCCAUGAUUAAAAGAUUAUCUCCUUGUGCAGAUCGAUCAUGCUAGGACUAGUGCAGGCAUGGGACAAAAAUGGUUGCAGAAAUUAAUAACAAAGUUCUCUUGGCUUUUUUAUUCUUUUUUUUAAUGUAUGUAUUCAGGAAUGUAAUUGCCAUUGGUGUCUUCAACCCUUGUUUAAGAAGAAUCGACAGGCAUUAGCACAGGAAAAUGAGAUCACACAGAAACUUGCAUGUCUUUAAUAUAUAAUAAUUCUAAAGAAUAAUUCAAUAAAGGAAGAAAUUAAGGAGA